UAACGAAUCUUCCGCAAUGCACGAAAGUGUGACGGAGCGACGCCGCGUGUAGGACGAAGCCCUUCGGGGUGUAAACUACUGUCAGGGGAAAGAAAGUACUGAUCUACCCCAGAGGAAGGCACGGCUAACUCUGUGCCAGCAGCCGCGGUAAGACAGAGGGGCCGCGCGUUAGGCGGAAUCACUGGGCUUAAAGCGGGUGUAGGCGGAUGCCUAAGUACCUUGUGAAAUCCCACGGCUUAACCGUGGAAC
This 249-nucleotide ribosomal RNA is filed under the name uncultured Phycisphaerae bacterium. RNAcentral's name for it is "partial 16S ribosomal RNA". It matches the Rfam family "Bacterial small subunit ribosomal RNA", at positions 355 to 621 of the family's 1533-position model. Lineage: Bacteria; Pseudomonadati; Planctomycetota; Phycisphaerae. The record is from RNAcentral.